AACACAAUUCCUCCAGAUGCUUUGGCCGACUUAUUUGCCAGGGAAGGAUUCCUCAAUGAUGACCCUUUCUUGACCGCUCUGUUACAAGCCUAUGAGAAAAGUGGCUUAUUUAUGGACAGCUUUAACCAGAAAAACAUGACAAGCAUCCUUCCAAAUGGCACCAAGGCGGCGCUCUUGGCUGGUGUGUGGCCCACAGUGGUUUCCAGUGGCAGCAAUGGAACUGAGGUGGACCAAUGGCUUGGUGGCCGCUUGGCUGACUAUUUCAUGUUCCUCAAUGGAGCCAUACUGAAUGCAAGCGAAACCCUGAAUGCUAGCUGUGUGACAUUCCAUAAAAUCGUGAACAAGCUGAAUGAAGACGUUGCUGUGUUUCAAGGCAGGGAGGAG
Molecule: long non-coding RNA, 384 nt
Organism: Sceloporus undulatus (fence lizard)
Lineage: Eukaryota; Metazoa; Chordata; Lepidosauria; Squamata; Phrynosomatidae
Exons: 3
Source: RefSeq, a predicted model, not a curated record